AGCUGCACGGCUUGCACAGAGCGAAUCAUUCAUUCGCCUUUUACUAAAGAAUACUGUGUGCACACCGCUUCUCAGCAGCAUAUGCCACUUUUUGGAAGGCUCAGCCUUUACAGGCU
Rhodamnia argentea is the source of this 116-nucleotide small nuclear RNA. RefSeq annotates it as U5 spliceosomal RNA. The transcript has a single exon. NCBI's taxonomy places the organism in Eukaryota, Viridiplantae, Streptophyta, Magnoliopsida, Myrtales, Myrtaceae. The record is from RefSeq and is a predicted model, not a curated record.